GUCGCCGUCGGCGAUGGAUCCCGCCCGCGUCGAUGACGACGGAACCGCCGGCCGGCUGAUGGUUCCUGCUCCCAG
RNAcentral lists this non-coding RNA (75 nucleotides) under Cellulomonas sp. Its description in RNAcentral is "Fluoride sequence". It matches the Rfam family "Fluoride riboswitch aptamer (crcB RNA motif)". The record is from RNAcentral. Lineage: Bacteria; Bacillati; Actinomycetota; Actinomycetes; Micrococcales; Cellulomonadaceae.